UGAAAUGAAAAUUUCUAGAUUGCAUAGCUCUUGCCAUUAAAUCAAAUAGUUGUUGAUUCGGAGAAGAUCGGAUUCGUGAACUCUGAUACCAUGUUGAACAAUGGAAGAUACGAACACAUAGAACAGCACAAUACACAAGAUUUACGUGGUUUCCGAUCGCAAGGUCGACUAGUCCACGAAAGAAGAGAUUGAUCUUUAUUGACUUAGAGAAAAGGAGAAGCAGAAUUCAUAAUAUACAGAGGCCAGCAGCCUUGGCUUAAGUAGAGAAGGAAGUAGGUCUA
RNAcentral lists this long non-coding RNA (281 nucleotides) under Linum usitatissimum (flax). RNAcentral describes it as "long non-coding RNA (LUSI_LNC007913)". The record is from RNAcentral. Lineage: Eukaryota; Viridiplantae; Streptophyta; Magnoliopsida; Malpighiales; Linaceae.